RNAcentral lists this long non-coding RNA (4782 nucleotides) under Brassica rapa (field mustard). RNAcentral's name for it is "long non-coding RNA (BRAP_LNC001975)". The record is from RNAcentral. Lineage: Eukaryota; Viridiplantae; Streptophyta; Magnoliopsida; Brassicales; Brassicaceae.
UCCUACAAAGACGUUGGGCCUCACAUCAGCAAAGCCCAAAGCUUCAGCUCCAGCCGCUACAAGACAAGGACCAGCAACGGUAACAACUCCAGUCAAGGCAAAACGUACGGUUGCUUCACCACAGCCGAUGCAGCUAAGGAACAGAUAUGAGAUACUUAUGGAUCAGGAUGGAUAGCUGUCAGCGACACCUGUCAGUAGUCUAGAUCGUUCCUUUACCUUGUAUAAAAGAGAGUAGAGUCAGAUUGUAAACACUCAAGUUAUCUUCAUGAAUAAACUUCAGUAUUAUCUUCAAUAAACACCUUUUCUAGCUUUUAUCUACAUGGUAUCAACGCCAUGGAAGGAGAUCCAGAUCCUGUUUCAGUUACGUCCCUCACGCUUACUCAUGUGGUCACCUUGAAGCUCAAAGAAGGAAACUAUUUGCUAUGGAAGCUUCAGUUCGAACAGUUUCUUUCCAGCCAGAUGCUUCUUGGGUAUGUCACCGGAGCUCAGCUACGUCCUCCACCAACAGUCUCCGUUCGAGAUGGAGAUCUGGUCACAGAAGCUGCGAACCCAGAGUUUCUCAGAUGGACGCAGAAAGAUCAGCUUAUUCUCGCCUGGAUCUAUGGUACGCUUACUGAAGAUGCUCUCAAAUCAGUCUAUGGCUUGCAUUCAUCUCAUGAGGUAUGGAUGGCUUUAGCUAAGAAGUACAAUAGAGUCUCCGCAACUAGGAAGUUUGAUUUACAAAGACGUGUUCAAACAAUGGUCAAGGGAAACAAGACAAUGGCUGUUUACUUGUCUGAAAUUAAGUCGCUUUGUGAUCAGUUAGACUCUAUUGGUGCUCCUAUCUCAGAACAGGAAAAGAUCUAUGGAGUUCUGAAUGGAUUAGGAAAAGAGUAUGAGGCAGUGGGUACAGUCAUCGAACACUCCAUGGAUGCUCAACCCCCACCCUGUUUUGAAGACGUUGUGUACAAGCUUACUGGUUUUGACGACAAGCUUAAAGCUUAUGAAGCUACGACUGAUGUGAACUCUCAUCAAGUGUUAUACACCAACAGAGGUGGUUACUCAGGUCGAGGACGAGGCCAGUACAGAGGAGGAUAUCGUGGCAGAGGAUCCUACUCAACUCAAGGAAGAGGUUUCCCUCAACAGUUUGGUCAAAGCGCUCAUCGUCAGAACGAUAAUCAACGUCCCGCAUGCCAGAUUUGUGGCAAAUAUGGCCAUCCUGCUUACAAAUGCUACAAGCGCUUUGAUCAACACUUUGCAGUCAAUGAGCCUCCACAAGCCAACAUGAUGAUGACAGCACCUGGCCAACACAAUGCGAGCUCUAUGGGAGCAGAGUGGUAUCCAGACAGCGGAGCUUCUCAUCAUGUCACCAACUCGGUUCAGCAUCUUGAUGUGGCACAUGAGUAUGAUGGCACUGAUCAAGUGAUAGUUGGUAAUGGGGACUUCCUUCCUAUCACUCGUAUGGGCUCUGCUUCGAUUCAAACUGCCUCAGGUACUUUACCACUGUCUGAAGUCUUGAUAUGUCCUGAUAUAACAAAGUCUUUGUUAUCAGUCUCUAAGCUUACUGAUGACUAUCCCUGUGAAUUUACGUUUGAUGCUACUAAUGUAUAUGUCAAGGACAAAGCAACAAGCAGGGUCCUCAGCCAGGGCAACAAAGUUAAAGGGCUAUAUAGAUUGGAUGUUCCUCAGUUUGUGGCGUUUUAUUCCUCAAGACAGCAGUUGGCGAGUGAUAGAGUCUAGCAUCUGAGGUUGGGGCAUCCAAAUGAUCAAGUUUUGAAGCAUCUUUCUGCAAUAAAUGCCAUUACUUUCAAUAAGACUGAGAAGUCAAUGUGUGAGGCGUGUCAAGUGGGCAAGACAUGCAAACUACCCUUUUCUAGUUCUGAUUUUCGAGCAAGUAGAAUUCUUGAGAGAAUACAUUGUGAUGUAUGGGGACCUGCACCUGUUGUUUCUGGUCAGGGGUUUCGUUUUUAUGUUGUAUUCAUCGACAAUUAUUCAAGAUUCUGCUGGUUCUAUCCACUUAAAUUAAAAUCAGAUGUCUUCUCAGUCUUCAAAGUCUUUCAACAACAAGUGGAAACUCAAUAUAAUCAGAAAAUCAGUGUUUUUCAGUCAGAUGGGGGUGGUGAAUUCAUCAACAAGAAUCUGAUACAACAUUUUGCUUCUACUGGCAUUAAACAUUUUGUCUCGUGUCCACACACACCGGAGCAGAACGGCAUUGCAGAGAGAAGGCAUCGUUAUAUUACAGAACUUGGACUGUCAAUGCUUUACCAGAGUCACUUGCCGCAAGAUCUCUGGGUUGAAGCUUUCUUCACAUCAGUAUUUCUCAGUAACCUUCUUCCUUCGACUGUAAACGACAAGAUGACUAGUCCGUUUGAGCUUAUCAAUGGUAAACCACCAGUCUAUACAGCUCUUCGGGUAUUUGGAUGCGCUUGCUACCCGUAUCUCAGGCCUUACUCUCAGAACAAGUUUGAUCCAAAGUCACUUGUGUGUGUGUUCCUUGGAUACAAUGAGAAAUACAAGGGUUAUAGAUGUUAUCAUCCUCCCACUGGUCGCAUCUAUAUUAAUAGACACGUUUUGUUUGAUGAAGAAAGGCUACCUUACAAAGACAUCUACAAACACCUGCUACCUGUGGCCACAACGCCAUUGUUAUCAGCAUGGCGUCUACAGCAUGGAGAGGUUUUUAACCAAGACAAGCCCGAAGAAACACACCUUUCAAAUGAAGAUGUUGGAAGAACAGUUCUAGUACCGGUCUCUCAACCUUCUCCAGCUGCUCCAUCUCCGCCUCCGGCAGCAAACACAGACCCUUCCUCUAGUGGUUCGUCUUCAGAAACAGAUUCUGAUCAAGCUCAUUCUCCUGUUGAACCGCAACUUCAAGUUCCAGCUCCAGCCAAUGCUCAUCGCAUGACUACAAGAGCAAAAGCGGGAGUUAUGAAACCAAAUCCAAGAUAUGCGCUAAUAACAGUGAAAGGGUUACCACAACUGCCAGGAACAAUAGCUGAGGCUCUCAGUCAUCCUGGAUGGAAUGGAGCUAUGGGAGAAGAAAUGGAGACAUGUGAAGAGACAAGGACCUGGAGUUUAGUUCCACCACCAUUGGAUGUUAAGCCAAUAGGCUGCAGAUGGGUACACAAGGUGAAAUUGAAAGCAGAUGGUACUUUAGAUAAACUAAGAUCAAGAGUAGUGGCUAAAGGAAAUGAACAAGAAGAGGGAGUAGACUUCUUGGAAACAUAUAGUCCAGUUGUCAGAACGGCGACUGUGAGAUUGGUCCUUCAUCUAGCUGUUAUCAAAAGAUGGGAUAUCAAGCAACUAGAUGUAAAGAAUGCCUUCCUACAUGGAGAUUUGACUGAAACUGUAUACAUGAAGCAGCCUCCUGGUUUUGAAAAUAAAGAUUAUCCAGAGUAUGUCUGUCUUCUUCACAAAGCAAUCUAUGGACUAAAACAAGCACCUAGAGCUUGGUUUGACAAAUUCAGUUCAUAUCUACUUGAAUUUGGCUUUGUGUGCAACUCAGGAGAUCCGUCGCUAUUUGUAUAUCAGAAAGGAGAAGAUGUGAUGUACCUUCUGUUAUAUGUAGAUGAUAUGCUCUUGACAGGAAGCAACAAGAGCCUGAUUGAUCAGCUGAUGCAUGCACUUCGCAAGCAGUUCAGGAUGAAGGAUAUGGGGUCACUCAGCUACUUUCUUGGUAUACAAGUUCAAUUUACAGCUACUGGCUUGUUCCUUAACCAAGCAAAGUAUGCUACUGACUUGUUACAAGCUGCGGGAAUGCUGGAUUGCUCACAGAUGCCUACACCUCUACCACUUCAGUUAGACAGAGUGCCGCAUCAGGAUGAGAUCUUCACCAAUCCUAGAUACUUCAGAAGCUUAGCGGGCAAACUACAAUACCUCACUCUAACAAGACCAGACAUUCAAUUUGCGGUGAAUCUAGUUUGUCAGAAGAUGCAUGAACCAACAAUGUCAGACUUCCACCUCAUGAAGAGAAUCCUAAGAUAUCUCAAAGGCACUUUGGAGAUGGGUAUCACGCUUGAAUCCAACACAGGUAUGCAAGUCAGAGCAUAUUGUGAUAGCGACUGGGGUGGAUGUCAAGAUACGAGAAGAUCUACAGGAGGAUUCUGCACAUUCUUGGGUUCUAAUUUGAUCUCUUGGUCAGCUAAGCGUCAAGACACAGUAGCAAGGUCCUCUACUGAAGCAGAGUAUCGCACUCUUUCUGAUACAGCAGCAGAGCUAGCUUGGAUAAGUCUGAUGCUCAAGAGUAUAGGAGUUCAACAGUUGGAUGCAGCAGAGAUCUAUUGUGAUAAUCUAUCAGCUGUCCAUCUCACAGCAAACCCGGUGUUACACAGGAAGUCAAAACACUUUGCUACACAUUACCAUUUUGCGAGAGAGAAGGUUGCAGAUGGGUCCUUGAUUGUUUACCAUAUACCAGCAGCUCAGCAAAUAGCUGACGUCUUCACCAAGUCUCUACCUCUGCACAACUUUGUUGAUCUGCGUUACAAACUCGGAGUUGACUAUCCACCCAACUCGAGUUUGCGGGGGAGUAUUAAGCCCAACGGAUCUUUACAUGAUCAUCCUACAAAGACGUUGGGCCUCACAUCAGCAAAGCCCAAAGCUUCAGCUCCAGCCGCUACAAGACAAGGACCAGCAACGGUAACAACUCCAGUCAAGGCAAAACGUACGGUUGCUUCACCACAGCCGAUGCAGCUAAGGAACAGAUAUGAGAUACUUAUGGAUCAGGAUGGAUAGCUGUCAGCGACACCUGUCAGUAGUCUAGAUCGUUCCUUUACCUUGUAUAAAAGAGAGUAGAGUCAGAUUGUAAAC